Molecule: non-coding RNA, 83 nt
Organism: Canis lupus familiaris (dog)
Lineage: Eukaryota; Metazoa; Chordata; Mammalia; Carnivora; Canidae
Source: Rfam
UCCUGGGUGGCUCAGCGGUUGAGCGUCUGACUUCUGCUCAGGACAUGAUCCCAGGGACCUGGGAUCGAGUCCCACACCAGGCU